UGUAAUGGAUGAGCUGCUGGUAGAGCCUGCAGGCAGUCCUCGGUUGCCCGGGAAACACAGAUGGUGGAUGAAGGGCGUGCAUACAAAAGAGCGUAAACCUGUGGCAGCAGCUGGAGACCGUGCCCGCUCAUUAUUCAGCUCUGUGCGGCCCUGCUUACUCAAAGGCGUCGCUGUUCUCGUUAAUGCCGCCUAUCCAUUUUCUUUGUCCCGGGGCUUCCGGCUCCACUUCAUCCUGCUUUCUCCCCGGACCGGACCAGUCAGUGCGCAGCUGCUGUCGGCACUCCCAACAUCUGCUCGUCUCUGCUCGGCAGCCAUACAGACGACGCUCCGCCGCGGCUCAUGUUGGUGCGUAGCUUGCCGUCCAGACGGCGAGCAGCCUCCUCACUGCAGGCGGUGGUCACACACAGCACACACACGGUGUCGUUUAGCAAGUCAGAGAGCUUAAACUCAACAUGGAAGAAGACGACGACGACGAAGAAGAUGUAACCUAAUGUUUUCUCACCAUUUGAUGAUGCGGGACAGGUGCACGAAGAGCCCAAAGAUCUCUGGUGACCUUGUGGUCAGUGUUGAAUGGACCGUACACAGGCUUCAUCUCCAGAGCUGCUGACAUGUCUCCAGACAAGACACAGGGAGGACCUAACACCCGGACAGGUUAUGUGUACAGGCUAAGUUAUCUUCAUUUAAAUCAUGAAGAAUAUUCAUUUGUAUUGGCACACAGUAACAGAUGGAUAUUUAAAUAGCAUUACUCAUUUGGUUAGAUAACUGGUAUCAAUGCAGCCCAUCUCAAGUGACGUAUGUUUUACUCUCAUUUGUGUCAAAAAAAAGAGGACAAAAAGAACAAACCAAAAUGGAAAGAAAUCCCGGGGGUGUCAUUGGAGGACAGUUGGGCCGCGUCCCACUUUUUCUGCUGCUGUGUGUUGUGUGUUUUUCUCCAGUUACGCUGAUGAAAAGGCAGAUCACGGCUCGCACCAGACCCCAGCAGCUGCAUCAUCGCUCCAUCGCCCUCUGCUGCAUCGCCUCACAGAGAGGAUCCAUCUGCAGAUUUACACCAUGUGAUUGAUGCACGAUGCCAUGCUUUCCUGCAGCUGCAGAAGGAGAGGGUCCAUGUCCAAGAAUUUCCCAACAGAGAGACGACUUAGGUGUACCAAUGAAGUGGCUUCCAGAAGAAAAAAAGCUUUGCACUCUGUCAGCAUGAUCACAUUUAGCAGAAAGGCAUUUCAUGGGUGGUGUUUUGAGUCCAAAAUGAUUUGCAGCACAUUUUUGCCUUCUUAAAAUGUGUUGUGGGUAAUUUUAAUGUAGCUUCAUUCACCCACUCUAUUUUUUUGUCUAAUCAAAACAACACUGCAGCAAUCAAACAUCUCUUUUGCAUCUUUUUUUCCUGCAGCUUCUGUGUGCAGUGACCUCUCUGCUCUGUUAAAUUGGUUACUCUGUCCAACACCUUCUCCCUUUGUGAGAGGGGCUUUAAUAAUGCUGUCCUGGGUGUUAGCUUCUCACUUCUCUCUGCCAGAUCCAGAUCUGUAAAAUCUGAUACUCUCAGCCUGUAAUGUUAACAAAAAAAAAAAAAAAAUCUGCUAAAAGUGUGUGAAAAGGAUGACCAGUUUUCUCACAUUUUGAAAAUGUGUUAUUCACACAGUAUGUUCUUUGUUUGUCUUAAAACAAUACACAGUCAGUGUAUUUAUGCUGUAGUGUGUGGGUGCUUGUGUGUCUGUGUGAAUGCGUGUGUUUGUGUGCAUGUGUGUGUGUGCAUGUGUAUUAUGUCUGUAUAAUGAAUCUGAAAUUUGCAAACGGUCCUGAAGCUGCUAGAUGCUUAUUGAUGAUUUCCUUAUAUCUUCUUAUAUCUAUCUUAAGUUUGAAAAUGCAGUUUUUCUUCUUUUAUCCUCUGAAUGUACCAGACAUGGGAUAAAAACUAUUUACAGAUGAUUUUUUAGCUGCAUCAGUUUCAGCCUCAUUGAAGUGCCAGAUAUGGAGGGGAUUCUUGUGAUUGAGAUAAUCACAAGAGUGUGGCUGUAAAUGAAUGGUGUGUAGUUUUCUAAAUGAUGCCUGCUGGCUCUAAUUAAACCGUCCUAACGCCCACAGCCCCAUCUUCUGAUACUUGACCAAAUUACAGCAAUUGCUAAUAAUUAUGUGCAAAUAGCUUUUGACCCAAGUCUGGCUUCUACUAACAGUAUCUCACUAAUAUCUAACAAUACUAAUGUGUGCUGCUAACAGUCAGUGAUUACUAACCUGGAAUCUGAAUGCUGAUGGCUGGCCUUGUUUUCUUUCUAACACACAGACUAACCCUCUGCUUUACGCCUGCAGUGCGACACACACUCCUCUCUCUUCAUCCUGCAAUCCUUCUUAGAAAUGACCAGCUUCGAUUGAUUUUUUUUUAAAGAAGACAAUCAAUAAGAAAAGUCCUAAAGUCAAGAAGGGUUUCAGGAAAUUGGGAAAAAUAUAAACCAAGAAAUGAAAAGAGGAGCAGAAACAGAUGCUGAUAUCAAACUGGGUUGACCACAUAUUUUAAACAAAUGAUUUUGAUCUUAUUCCAAAUGAAAUAAGUGCACUGUGUCACACUUUAAAUACUAAUUCACAUCUUUAACUACAUGUAUUUUUAAGUUUUUCUCUCUGUCUGUGCGCUGUGUGGUCAACCUUAACAGAUGAGCACCAGGCUUGUUGUAAACACGAGGAAAAAAAAGCACAAGCCAAGCAAAGCUAAACUCCUACUAACUUUAUUAUUCUGGUGUUUGAUACUAACAUCGGUGAAGCUGCAAAGCUCCACCUGUCACUCCUACUAACAUCGCUCUUCUUUUUUAUUCUUGAAAUCAAAUUCUCUUGUUUACAAAUUAGAGCAUGCCCUACUAAUUUUGUUUUUAACACCAUUGUAUGAAAGCUGAAAUCUGAAUAUAUAUUUUUUGUACCACGAGACUGCUUCUAAAGUCGGACAGCUCUACUCGUGUUAGUGAUAUGCUAAACAGAAGUCCUUACCAACAAAUGUGACUAUUUCGUUCUCUUAAUAACCUACUAACAUCAAUAAACCUGAGUCUAACCAAAGAGCUUAUAUAGGCUCCCUGCAAACUAACAAACUAACCCACUAAUAAACUAAUCAUCUAACAAACACUAACAAAAAAACACUAACUGUGUGCUGAGUGGCAGAAUUAGCGAAGCACCCUGAUUAUAAGGAGCUGCGUCACUCAUUGAAUGCACUAACAUGAUUAAGUUUGGAGUUUCUGAAGUGAUUGAAUGUGCCUGUGUGUGUGCACAUGUUUGUGUGUGUGCGAGAGAGAGAGAGAGAGAAGGCAGAAGAUGUAUGUUUGUUUCUGUGCUUACAAAUGAAAGUGGAGGAUGUAUGCGUGACCACUUUUACGUCUUAAACAAUAAUCAAGUCUAGAAAUGCAGAUGAAUAUAUCCAUUAGCAGUCUUUCAGCCUGUAUGAGCUGCUGCUUCUAUAAAGCUUCAACUUUGAAUCAUCAUGCAUGUCAAGAGUUCUGAAUUUAAUGUUCACAAAUAUUUUUCACUUCUUCCUUAUUCAUCUUGUCUUAGAAACAUAUUUUUGGAAUAAAUAGAUAACAAUGUAUUUCUCUCUGCUAUUAAUUAUUCACAUAAAAAAAUGCAAUCCACAGAUUUUUUAUAACAUAACAAUCAGUCCAGAGGAGCAUUCGAAAACACAGGGUACAGCAAAGUCCUUCCAAAGAACAUGUUUUUCUGCACACAGCCAAUAAAUAUAAAGGUAUUUUACCACUGUGGCGAUGUGGAGGGCCACCUUCAGGAGCGUCAUUACAAUAAAUAACAUCUCUGCUCUCGUGAUUGCUGUAAUCAUACAAUGUAGUGAUUACUGUCGCAGCAGGUGAAACACAUGCAGAGUCCAACAGAACCCAUUCUGUUUGAAGUCUCAGAUUCAGAAUAAAUACAAUACAAAUGGAAACAUGCAUACCUGUUCUGUUAAAGUUUUGAAUUUUAAAUGUAUGCUUGUAUGUAAGGCCUUUGAAUAUUUCUAAGACACCAUUAUAACUAUAUAACCGUGUGAAAACUCUGAAUUAUUAUGUAUAAAUCCCCUAAUUUAAUGCUGCCCAGCUAUGUUUUUCUGCUAAUUUACAUGUAUGAGGAUUUGAAGAUUUCAUGUUUGCAGUGUUACAGCAGGGGGCAGCAACUCAUCAGGUGAAAGGAUCUGUUGAUCAUUGGUGCAGUGAUUGUUUUUCCUCAUGUGUACUGCUUGUCCUGCUUAUAUUUGCGGUUGCUCGAUUAACGAAAGAAAUGACUUCAUAUGAAUAACUGUUAAAAAUUAUUAAACAGCAUAUUUACUGUGGUGCAGUUAAAUAACCACAUUUCUAUUGAUCCAUUACCACAUUAUACAGACUAUAUUCCAUUUAGGAGUUUCCCCUUUAUGAUUUCCUUAGAAUUAAUGAGUGUGGAAGUUUUUAAAUCUGAAUUACACAAUGUUAAUAUACUUUACUCAAUAUGUUUACCCAUAUAUAAAACAUGACCGAUAGUUUUGUUCAGCAUUAGUCAGCGUCAGCACAUUUUAUGUUUAAAACAUGCACAGAAAAUUCUUCAGGAGUAUAAUCUUUAAUGGAGCAAAUAGAAAAAAUGAAUCAUGUUUUCACUGAUAUGACCUUAAAAAAAGAAUCUGCGACAGUGAAGACAUGCUGGAUUAAAGGAAUAUCUUGUUUCUCAAUAAAACGUAUUUUUGACACCUUG
Non-coding RNA from Labrus bergylta (ballan wrasse), 4674 nucleotides. Lineage: Eukaryota; Metazoa; Chordata; Actinopteri; Labriformes; Labridae. The record is from RefSeq and is a predicted model, not a curated record.